GACGAACGCUGGCGGCGUGCUUAACACAUGCAAGUCGAACGGAAAGGCCCUGCUUUUGUGGGGUGCUCGAGUGGCGAACGGGUGAGUAACACGUGAGUAACCUGCCCUUGACUUUGGGAUAACUUCAGGAAACUGGGGCUAAUACCGGAUAGGAGCUCCUGCUGCAUGGUGGGGGUUGGAAAGUUUCGGCGGUUGGGGAUGGACUCGCGGCUUAUCAGCUUGUUGGUGGGGUAGUGGCUUACCAAGGCUUUGACGGGUAGCCGGCCUGAGAGGGUGACCGGCCACAUUGGGACUGAGAUACGGCCCAGACUCCUACGGGAGGUAGCAGUGGGGAAUAUUGCACAAUGGGCGGAAGCCUGAUGCAGCAACGCCGCGUGCGGGAUGACGGCCUUCGGGUUGUAAACCGCUUUCGCCUGUGACGAAGCGUGAGUGACGGUAAUGGGUAAAGAAGCACCGGCUAACUACGUG
Molecule: ribosomal RNA, 468 nt
Filed under: uncultured bacterium
Lineage: Bacteria
Description: partial 16S ribosomal RNA
Rfam family: Bacterial small subunit ribosomal RNA
Source: RNAcentral